RNAcentral lists this ribosomal RNA (440 nucleotides) under uncultured bacterium. RNAcentral describes it as "partial 16S ribosomal RNA". It matches the Rfam family "Bacterial small subunit ribosomal RNA", at positions 338 to 795 of the family's 1533-position model. The record is from RNAcentral.
CCUACGGGAGGCAGCAGUGGGGAAUAUUGCACAAUGGGGGAAACCCUGAUGCAGCGACGCAGCGUGCAUGAUGAAGGCCUUCGGUGUGUAAAGCUCUAUUAGCAGGGAAGAAAAUCACGGUACGUGACUAAUUAUCCACGGCCAAUUACGUGCCAGCAGCCGUGGUCAUACGUAGGGGGCGAGCGUUAUCCGGAUUUACUGGGUGGAAAGGGGGCGUAGACGGUUUUGUAUGGCAGUAGUGAAAGCCCGUGGCUUAACCGCAGAAUGGCUUUGGAAACUGUAAGUCUGGAGUACAGGAGAGGUAGGCGGAAUUCCUAGUGUAGCGGUGAAAUGCGUAGAUAUUAGGAAGAACACCGAUGGCGAAGGCAGCUUACUGGACUGUGACUGACGUUGAGGCUCGAAAGCGUGGGGAGCAAACAGGAUUAGAUACCCUUGUAGUC